This 565-nucleotide ribosomal RNA is filed under the name Marinomonas sp. MED121. RNAcentral's name for it is "bacterial SSU rRNA". It matches the Rfam family "Bacterial small subunit ribosomal RNA", at positions 971 to 1533 of the family's 1533-position model. Lineage: Bacteria; Pseudomonadati; Pseudomonadota; Gammaproteobacteria; Oceanospirillales; Oceanospirillaceae. The record is from RNAcentral.
UUACCUACUCUUGACAUCCAUAGAAUUUGGCAGAGAUGCCUUAGUGCCUUCGGGAACUAUGAGACAGGUGCUGCAUGGCUGUCGUCAGCUCGUGUUGUGAAAUGUUGGGUUAAGUCCCGUAACGAGCGCAACCCUUGUCCUUAUUUGCCAGCGAGUAAUGUCGGGAACUUUAAGGAGACUGCCGGUGACAAACCGGAGGAAGGUGGGGACGACGUCAAGUCAUCAUGGCCCUUACGAGUAGGGCUACACACGUGCUACAAUGGCGCAUACAGAGGGCUGCGAACUUGCGAGAGUAAGCGAAUCCCAUAAAGUGCGUCGUAGUCCGGAUUGGAGUCUGCAACUCGACUCCAUGAAGUCGGAAUCGCUAGUAAUCGUGAAUCAGAAUGUCACGGUGAAUACGUUCCCGGGCCUUGUACACACCGCCCGUCACACCAUGGGAGUUGAUUGCUCCAGAAGUAGCUAGCUUAACCCUUCGGGGAGGGCGGUUACCACGGAGUGGUCAAUGACUGGGGUGAAGUCGUAACAAGGUAGCCCUAGGGGAACCUGGGGCUGGAUCACCUCCUUA